Molecule: ribosomal RNA, 571 nt
Filed under: Pichia norvegensis
Lineage: Eukaryota; Fungi; Ascomycota; Pichiomycetes; Pichiales; Pichiaceae
Description: eukaryotic LSU rRNA
Rfam family: Eukaryotic large subunit ribosomal RNA
Source: RNAcentral
UGCCUCAGUAGCGGCGAGUGAAGCGGCAAGAGCUCAGAUUUGAAAUCGCAGCGGCAACGCGGCGAGUUGUARAUUGCAGGUGGGAGAGUUUGCGGGCGGCGGGCGUCGAAGUCCCUUGGAACAGGGCGCCACUGAGGGUGARAGCCCCGUGCGAUGCCUGCCCAUGCUUUGAACUCCCCUCUGACGAGUCGAGUUGUUUGGGAAUGCAGCUCUAAGCGGGUGGUAAAUUCCAUCUAAGGCUAAAUACUGGCGAGAGACCGAUAGCGAACAAGUACUGUGAAGGAAAGAUGAAAAGCACUUUGAAAAGAGAGUGAAACAGCACGUGAAAUUGUUGAAAGGGAAGGGUAUUGGGCCCRACAUGGGAAUCGCGCACCGCUGCUCCUCGKGGGCGGCGCUCUGCGCUUUUCCKGGGCCAGCAUCGGUUUCCGCUGCAGGAGAAGGGGCUGUGGAAUGUGGCUGGCACGCUUGCGCGCCAGUGUUAUAGCCACGGGCCAGAUGCUGCGUGUGGGGACCGAGGGCUGCGACGGCAACGUCUCGGAUGCUGGCACAACGGCGCAAUACCGCCCGUCUU